Acanthosepion pharaonis is the source of this 100-nucleotide non-coding RNA. Lineage: Eukaryota; Metazoa; Mollusca; Cephalopoda; Sepiida; Sepiidae. The record is from the annotation of a GenBank genome assembly.
CAUUGAAACAUCAGUUCUCGUACGAUCACCGAAGUUAAGCAACACCAAGACUUGUCAGUACAUAGAUGGGUGACCGCUUGAGAAUAACGGAUGCUGUAAG